ACCCCUACGGGGGGCAGCAGUCGGGAAUAUUGCGCAAUGGAGGAAACUCUGACGCAGUGACGCCGCGUGCAGGAAGAAGGUUUUCGGAUUGUAAACUGCUUUAGACAGGGAAGGAACAAGACAGUACCUGUAGAAUAAGCUCCGGCUAACUACGUGCCAGCAGCCGCGGUAAUACGGAGGAUGCGAGCGUUAUUCGGAUUUAUUGGGUUUAAAGGGUGCGCAGGCGGAGGUGCAAGUCAGCGGUCAAAUUGCGGGGCUCAACCCCGUACUGCCGUUGAAACUGCAUCCCUUGAGUGCGCGAGAAG
This 305-nucleotide ribosomal RNA is filed under the name uncultured bacterium. RNAcentral describes it as "bacterial SSU rRNA". It matches the Rfam family "Bacterial small subunit ribosomal RNA", at positions 335 to 657 of the family's 1533-position model. The record is from RNAcentral.